Molecule: small nuclear RNA, 266 nt
Filed under: Cricetulus griseus (Chinese hamster)
Lineage: Eukaryota; Metazoa; Chordata; Mammalia; Rodentia; Cricetidae
Description: 7SK RNA
Rfam family: 7SK RNA
About the family: 7SK was discovered as an abundant small nuclear RNA in the mid-70s but a possible function has only recently been suggested. Two independent studies have found that 7SK RNA binds the CDK9/cyclin T complex (known as elongation factor P-TEFb). P-TEFb activates transcription by phosphorylating the C-terminal domain of RNA polymerase II.
Source: Rfam by way of RNAcentral
AGAUGUGAUGGGUGAUCUAGAUGCAACAUCUGUCACCCUAUUGAUGCCAGCAUCUGACUGGCUAGGUAGAUGAUCCCUUCCUCCUUUAUGUGUGUGCCUCCGGAAGCUGCAUGCUAGCCCUGUCCAGUCUGGUCAAGGAUAUACGAGCAGCUGUGUGCCCCUACUGGACCCUCCAACCCUGCUCUCAAGGUCCAUUUGUUGUCAGUUUUUAAAUUACAUAGUACGAGUCUUCCACUAUUGUCUUUCUUGAGAUUAUUUCAGAUUUU